UUUCCCGCUAAUCAUUGUCCCCCAGGGAACACAGGCACAGCCUGGGCAAAGAUUAUGAUGCUAAUUUGGUUCCAAAUAACCGAUUUUCUAAAAGAAAAGAAAGAGAGACGUGGAGGAAGGGAAGAGAGAAGAGAGAAAAGACCAGUUAUUUGCCCAGGCAAAGCCCACUCUGGUUUCUGAAGCUCUGUGGAAGCUAAUUGCAAUGCUUGAUUAAAAUGUCCCAUCUCCCUAGAUCAGCACAUCCCAUCCUGCCUCUGGCUCUGGGCUUUGCUCGCCCCAGAGAGGGUAACACUGCCUUUGGAUCUUUCUUGUAUGGCUUUCCCCCUGCACAACUUCCAGGACCACAUGAGUUCUCGUAAGGAAAUACAAGUCCACCCCCAGCUUUGACAGGUGAAGCCCUCUGGAAGGCUGGCUGUGUGGUAGGAGCCAGGAUGACACUGAGAUGUCCUUCCAAAUCAGGACCCGAACAGCUGAGGAGCUCCAGUUACCCAAGAA
Peromyscus maniculatus bairdii (prairie deer mouse) is the source of this 495-nucleotide non-coding RNA. NCBI's taxonomy places the organism in Eukaryota, Metazoa, Chordata, Mammalia, Rodentia, Cricetidae. The record is from RefSeq and is a predicted model, not a curated record.